RNAcentral lists this ribosomal RNA (1060 nucleotides) under Actinomycetes bacterium. RNAcentral describes it as "bacterial SSU rRNA". It matches the Rfam family "Bacterial small subunit ribosomal RNA", at positions 125 to 1197 of the family's 1533-position model. Lineage: Bacteria; Bacillati; Actinomycetota; Actinomycetes. The record is from RNAcentral.
UCUGCCCUGCACUUUGGGAUAAGCCUGGGAAACUGGGUCUAAUACCGAAUACACCCUUCUGGCUGCAUGGUCUGGUUGGGGAAAGCUUUUGCGGUGUGGGAUGGGCCCGCGGCCUAUCAGCUUGUUGGUGAGGUUACGGCUCACCAAGGCGACGACGGGUAGCCGGCCUGAGAGGGUGACCGGCCACACUGGGACUGAGAUACGGCCCAGACUCCUACGGGAGGCAGCAGUGGGGAAUAUUGCACAAUGGGCGCAAGCCUGAUGCAGCGACGCCGCGUGAGGGAUGACGGCCUUCGGGUUGUAAACCUCUUUCGCCAGGGACGAAGCGCAAGUGACGGUACCUGGAGAAGAAGGACCGGCCAACUACGUGCCAGCAGCCGCGGUAAUACGUAGGGUCCGAGCGUUGUCCGGAAUUACUGGGCGUAAAGAGCUCGUAGGUGGUUUGUCGCGUUGUUCGUGAAAACUCACAGCUCAACUGUGGGCGUGCGGGCGAUACGGGCAGACUGGAGUACUGCAGGGGAGACUGGAAUUCCUGGUGUAGCGGUGGAAUGCGCAGAUAUCAGGAGGAACACCGGUGGCGAAGGCGGGUCUCUGGGCAGUAACUGACGCUGAGGAGCGAAAGCGUGGGGAGCGAACAGGAUUAGAUACCCUGGUAGUCCACGCCGUAAACGGUGGGUACUAGGUGUGGGUUUCCUUCCUUGGGAUCCGUGCCGUAGCUAACGCAUUAAGUACCCCGCCUGGGGAGUACGGCCGCAAGGCUAAAACUCAAAGAAAUUGACGGGGGCCCGCACAAGCGGCGGAGCAUGUGGAUUAAUUCGAUGCAACGCGAAGAACCUUACCUGGGUUUGACAUGCACAGGACGUGCCUAGAGAUAGGUAUUCCCUUGUGGCCUGUGUGCAGGUGGUGCAUGGCUGUCGUCAGCUCGUGUCGUGAGAUGUUGGGUUAAGUCCCGCAACGAGCGCAACCCUUAUCUUAUGUUGCCAGCGCGUAAUGGCGGGGACUCGUGAGAGACUGCCGGGGUCAACUCGGAGGAAGGUGGGGAUGACGUCAAGUCAUCAUG